This is a long non-coding RNA of Lineus longissimus, 819 nucleotides long. RefSeq lists it as uncharacterized. The transcript has 3 exons. The record is from RefSeq and is a predicted model, not a curated record. Lineage: Eukaryota; Metazoa; Nemertea; Pilidiophora; Heteronemertea; Lineidae.
UUCACAUGAACCGUAUAAUCCCGCAUAGCGCAUGUGGGGCAUGCGUCUAAACCAAAGCCCCAAAAUCACUUGUUUUGGUCUAUUUCAGUUUCACUUGUGUUUCCCCCGUCUCCCAGUCCAUAAUACAUUUACAGUUUACAAUCCCCGAUCAUGGCCCAACAAAAGGUCAUCGGUUGACUAAAGGAACACAACUGUUCAAUGGAUUUAUAGUUGAAUGCGAUCAAACUACGUCUUUUCAAUCGUGGAUUGUAAAUUUAACCCCAUGGGCCUAGGGAAGGCCCUAUAACAAUACUUUCGACACAGUUAUUAUCUCCGGUGCCUCCACCAUGUUACACACAGUGCUCACUGCUGAUUCUAAAAUGCGCCACCUAGUCAAAACAGGACAUAUGUUCUUCUAGGAAUAGAUCUCUUUCCAAUAUUUCGUCAUUCCACUAUCGUCAUCACCUCAUCAUACUUUCAUUGACAUUACAGGCACACAUCCACAGAGCACUCUUCAAAUCAUCUACACAGUGGUUAUCCAACUAGGAUUAUAAAGGCACACAUGGACAUUGACCACUGUUGCAGUCAACGACACAGUCGCUAUCCAAGUAGCAUUAUAGAGCUGUCAUGCAACGCAACAACUGUGCUAUCUGCCAUCGCACAUCAACGAAGAAGUGCAGCCGCUCACAUUCCACCUCACGUCUGUCCGACCAGCUGCAAUCCUCGAGGACGCCCCACUGUACCACGAUUUCACUACGAUGUUUGACAAGAAGGAGCAGUGCGCGAGAUAGGCUAAUGAGCAGACUUCCCUCGUUUGAGUUUCAGAAGAAUGUUCCAUAU